RNAcentral lists this ribosomal RNA (506 nucleotides) under uncultured bacterium. RNAcentral describes it as "partial 16S ribosomal RNA". It matches the Rfam family "Bacterial small subunit ribosomal RNA", at positions 28 to 523 of the family's 1533-position model. The record is from RNAcentral.
GAUGAACGCUAGCUACAGGCUUAACACAUGCAAGUCGAGGGGUAACGAGAGGAAAGCUUGCUUUCCUUGUCGACGACCGGCGCACGGGUGAGUAACGCGUAUCCAACCUGCACCCAACUAGGGAAUAACCUUGCGAAAGUAAGACUAAUACCCUAUACUUUCCUCAGAUGACAUCUGACGAGGAAUAAAGAUUUAUCGGUUGUGGAUGGGGAUGCGUCUGAUUAGCUUGUUGGCGGGGUAACGGCCCACGAAGGCAACGAUCAGUAGGGGUUCUGGGAGGAAGGUCCCCCACAUUGGAACUGAGACACGGUCCAAACUCCUACGGGAGGCAGCAGUGAGGAAUAUUGGUCAAUGGGCGGAAGCCUGAACCAGCCAAGUAGCGUGCAGGAUGACGGCCCUAUGGGUUGUAAACUGCUUUUAUACAGGAAUAAAGUUAGCCACGUGUGGUUAUUUGUAGGUACUGUAUGAAUAAGGACCGGCUAAUUCCGUGCCAGCCGCCGCCGUAA